Non-coding RNA from Labrus bergylta (ballan wrasse), 625 nucleotides. NCBI's taxonomy places the organism in Eukaryota, Metazoa, Chordata, Actinopteri, Labriformes, Labridae. The record is from RefSeq and is a predicted model, not a curated record.
UGCAGCCAUUGAAACAACAAGGAGGAACAACAACACAUCAUGUGGAUGGUUUUUGUCUACGAGUGUCUCGGAUUUCUUGAAGGACCUUAAAAUUCCAUCGUGGGGUGGAUGAGCGGAAGGGGAAGCAGGGACAGCGGAACGAGCACCACAAGGAUCAGCUUCCUCGCCCUCCACAGCUUCCUGAUCAGAUCCACCCUGGCUGCGGCCUCUAGCCUCAUGGGGGACCCGGAGCUCUGGAUCGGAUCGGCCACUACUCAGCAGAACCGGUUGUGAAAGUCCCGGCUGACGGGGAAAGUCUCUGAGAGCCAGCGAGCGCGGAGGGCUGGAGGAAGGUCUCCUUGGAGCGCGUAAAGUUCUGUCUCGGCUGUGCGCUUUUACGCACAGAAGGUGGACGGUGACCGGAUCUGAGUGCGUCUCUUAGAAAGUGACUUGCCUUGCCUGUUGACAAGCAGCGCCUCUGGUUUUGGUCGACUGACUACAAAAUCCACGGCCAUAUGAACGAUUGUGAUUGACUGCUAAAUACCCUGUAAUGUAAUUGGGGAAAUUGGAGCUGUUAAGCUCCUCUUGGAUCACGUCCAAUGAGUGGCAUUACCAUGGCAUCAUUGUAACACAGAAAAAUAAAGUG